Molecule: ribosomal RNA, 494 nt
Filed under: uncultured bacterium
Lineage: Bacteria
Description: partial 16S ribosomal RNA
Rfam family: Bacterial small subunit ribosomal RNA
Source: RNAcentral
GACGAACGCUGGCGGCGUGCCUAAUACAUGCAAGUAGAACGCUGAAGGAGGAGCUUGCUUCUCUGGAUGAGUUGCGAACGGGUGAGUAACGCGUAGGUAACCUGCCUGGUAGCGGGGGAUAACUAUUGGAAACGAUAGCUAUACCGCAUAAGAGUAGAUGUUGCAUGACAUUUACUUAAAAGGUGCAAUUGCAUCACUACCAGAUGGACCUGCGUUGUAUUAGCUAGUUGGUGAGGUAACGGCUCACCAAGGCAACGAUACAUAGCCGACCUGAGAGGGUGAUCGGCCACACUGGGACUGAGGCACGGCCCAGACUCCUACGGGAGGCAGCAGUAGGGAAUCUUCGGCAAUGGACGGAAGUCUGACCGAGCAACGCCGCGUGAGUGAAGAAGGUUUUCGGAUCGUAAAGCUCUGUUGUAAGAGAAGAACGAGUGUGAGAGUGGAAAGUUCACACUGUGACGGUAUCUUACCAGAAAGGGACGGCUAACUACGUG